UGACGAGCGGCGGACGGGUGAGUAAUGCCUGGGAAUAUGCCUUGAUGUGGGGGAUAACCAUUGGAAACGAUGGCUAAUACCGCAUAAUGCCUACGGGCCAAAGAGGGGGAUCUUCGGACCUCUCGCGUCAAGAUUAGCCCAGGUGGGAUUAGCUAGUUGGUGAGGUAAUGGCUCACCAAGGCGACGAUCCCUAGCUGGUCUGAGAGGAUGAUCAGCCACACUGGAACUGAGACACGGUCCAGACUCCUACGGGAGGCAGCAGUGGGGAAUAUUGCACAAUGGGCGCAAGCCUGAUGCAGCCAUGCCGCGUGUGUGAAGAAGGCCUUCGGGUUGUAAAGCACUUUCAGUCGUGAGGAAGGUAGUUGCGUUAAUAGCGUAAUUAUUUGACGUUAGCGACAGAAGAAGCACCGGCUAACUCCGUGCCAGCAGCCGCGGUAAUACGGAGGGUGCGAGCGUUAAUCGGAAUUACUGGGCGUAAAGCGCAUGCAGGUGGUUUGUUAAGUCAGAUGUGAAAGCCCGGGGCUCAACCUCGGAAUUGCAUUUGAAACUGGCAGACUAGAGUACUGUAGAGGGGGGUAGAAUUUCAGGUGUAGCGGUGAAAUGCGUAGAGAUCUGAAGGAAUACCGGUGGCGAAGGCGGCCCCCUGGACAGAUACUGACACUCAGAUGCGAAAGCGUGGGGAGCAAACAGGAUUAGAUACCCUGGUAGUCCACGCCGUAAACGAUGUCUACUUGGAGGUUGUGGCCUUGAGCCGUGGCUUUCGGAGCUAACGCGUUAAGUAGACCGCCUGGGGAGUACGGUCGCAAGAUUAAAACUCAAAUGAAUUGACGGGGGCCCGCACAAGCGGUGGAGCAUGUGGUUUAAUUCGAUGCAACGCGAAGAACCUUACCUACUCUUGACAUCCAGAGAAGCCAGCGGAGACGCAGGUGUGCCUUCGGGAGCUCUGAGACAGGUGCUGCAUGGCUGUCGUCAGCUCGUGUUGUGAAAUGUUGGGUUAAGUCCCGCAACGAGCGCAACCCUUAUCCUUGUUUGCCAGCGAGUAAUGUCGGGAACUCCAGGGAGACUGCCGGUGAUAAACCGGAGGAAGGUGGGGACGACGUCAAGUCAUCAUGGCCCUUACGAGUAGGGCUACACACGUGCUACAAUGGCGCAUACAGAGGGCUGCCAACCAGCGAUGGUGAGCGAAUCCCAAAAAGUGCGUCGUAGUCCGGAUUGGAGUCUGCAACUCGACUCCAUGAAGUCGGAAUCGCUAGUAAUCGUGGAUCAGAAUGCCACGGUGAAUACGUUCCCGGGCCUUGUACACACCGCCCGUCACACCAUGGGAGUGGGCUGCAAAAGAAGUGGGUAGUUUAACCUUUCGAGGAGGACGCUCACCACUUUGUGGUUCAUGACUGGGGUGAAGUCGUAACAAGGUAGCGCUAGGGGAACCUGGCGCUG
Molecule: ribosomal RNA, 1437 nt
Filed under: Vibrio scophthalmi LMG 19158
Lineage: Bacteria; Pseudomonadati; Pseudomonadota; Gammaproteobacteria; Vibrionales; Vibrionaceae
Description: bacterial SSU rRNA
Rfam family: Bacterial small subunit ribosomal RNA
Source: RNAcentral